Myzus persicae (green peach aphid) is the source of this 678-nucleotide long non-coding RNA. RefSeq lists it as uncharacterized. The transcript has 4 exons. Lineage: Eukaryota; Metazoa; Arthropoda; Insecta; Hemiptera; Aphididae. The record is from RefSeq and is a predicted model, not a curated record.
UGUGAUGAUAUUACACGAGUAAUAUUAAGUAAUUAAACAUAGCAUAGUUGUGCGCUUGUGUCGCUUGUGAUGUUUUUAUAUUUAUGCGUUGAUACGCGUGUGUAUGCACAUUAUAAUAUACACAUUAUACUGUUCAAGACUUCAAUCUGUUUUGAUAAUGCCUGAAGUUUAGAGAACCAAAAGUGGAAGAUGUCUGAAUGCGUAGAGAGAGGGAGGGAGAGAGAGAGACACACACUCAGCGUUGACAGUCGAAAAGGAUAUUUCGUAACUCGUCAUCAUCAAAUGUAUUUAACGUCCAGUAUAGGUUACAUGAUGAAUUUGUACACAAUAUAUUUAUUUACAACGAAACAGGCCGAAACCAAAUGAAACAAUAAGAUGUGUAUAUCAAAGUAGAUCAAUAGUACCUAUCUCGACUAUAAUCAUAUAUCCAGCUGAAGAAAUCAGGCGCGGAUACAAGGGGGGGCAUGGGAGCAAUGCCCCUUCCCAAAAUUUAAAAAAAAAAGAGGCUUGCGAAAAAAAUUAUAUGAUUUAUUAUAGAAUAAAUCCAUUCUAUAAUUAAUGAAAAUACUAUAUUAUUUCACAUUAAAUUAUUCUUAGGCUCUAGUAAUAUUUAGCUCAAAUGUAGAAAAAGUAAUGUAAUUAAAUAUUUUAUAAGCAAUAAAAUGAGAUGUAAGAUUG